GGCUUCCUACGGGAGGCAGCAGUGGGGAAUAUUGGGCAAUGGGCGCAAGCCUGACCCAGCAACGCCGCGUGAAGGAAGAAGGCUUUCGGGUUGUAAACUUCUUUUCUCAGGGACGAAGAAAGUGACGGUACCUGAGGAAUAAGCCACGGCUAACUACGUGCCAGCAGCCGCGGUAAUACGUAGGUGGCAAGCGUUAUCCGGAUUUACUGGGUGUAAAGGGCGUGUAGGCGGGGAAGCCAGUCAG
This 244-nucleotide ribosomal RNA is filed under the name uncultured bacterium. RNAcentral describes it as "partial 16S ribosomal RNA". It matches the Rfam family "Bacterial small subunit ribosomal RNA", at positions 333 to 591 of the family's 1533-position model. The record is from RNAcentral.